GUGGACGUCAGGUUGAGGGUUGCUUUUGGGGUUCGUUAUACAUGAUUUCUACAAGUCGCUCCCUUCUCUUUCCAUGGUUUCCGUCUGUCUAUUUUCGUUACACCAUUUUACAACAUGUCCCGCCCACAACACAUGCGUGACUGCUGAAGGGGGAAAGGUAACUGACACGAUUUGACUUCAGACUCCAUUUGGAAGAGCUUCCGGUAGUGCCAGAGGUGGGAGGUAUGCCAGAGAGAUCAGAUAGUGGAGAAGGCGUCCUUUCUGCUGCAAGAGAGGCUGGUUAUCAAUUAUUAGAGACAACCAUUUUGUGUAAAGAGCAAAUCCAUUGUUUUCUUCAUGUGGAAGGAAGAUUGACGUCAUAUUUCAAGAAAGUCUACAUCUGUGACCUGGAAGUUUAUGUCUGUGACCUGGAAGUCUACUUCUGUAACAUGGAAGUCUAGGUCUGUAACAUGGAAGUUUCUCUCGUGACCUGGAAGUCUACAUCUGUGACCUGGAAGUCUAUGUCUGUGACCUGGAAGUCUACGUCUGUGGCCUGGAUGUAAUUCAAGACCCAAUUGAUGCCGGAAGCUCGGCCUACCAGAGGUCCCCCCCUCAACCUGAAACUUAGUAUGGUUUUUUUUUUUUUUUUUU
This is a long non-coding RNA of Macrobrachium nipponense, 630 nucleotides long. RefSeq lists it as uncharacterized. The record is from RefSeq and is a predicted model, not a curated record. The transcript has 3 exons. NCBI's taxonomy places the organism in Eukaryota, Metazoa, Arthropoda, Malacostraca, Decapoda, Palaemonidae.